This 82-nucleotide transfer RNA is filed under the name Bacillota bacterium. RNAcentral's name for it is "tRNA-Leu". It matches the Rfam family "tRNA". Rfam says of the family: Transfer RNA (tRNA) molecules are approximately 80 nucleotides in length. Their secondary structure includes four short double-helical elements and three loops (D, anti-codon, and T loops). The record is from RNAcentral. RNAcentral also lists the same sequence under 3 other names. Lineage: Bacteria; Bacillati; Bacillota.
GCCGAAGUGGCGGAACGGCAGACGCACACGACUCAAAAUCGUGCGGGAAACCAUGUGGGUUCAAAUCCCACCUUCGGCACCA